GAGCCGAGACCAUGCCACUGCACUCCAGCCUGGGCGACAGGGCGAGACUCCGUCUCAAAAAAAAUUCUGGAGCUUCACUAGUUGGAGAAGCACUGGGCCAGAUUCUGGUGCCUGGCCCAGCCCAAAGAGCUCCCCACAGUGGGAGUCAAAACCUUGUGUUACAAGCCCUUCUGUGGGUUCAGACAGGGGCUUUCCAUGAGCUUCUGAGACACAAGCAGACAGGCCAGAGGAUUACUGGACAGUCUGAGAAAACCCUCUAAUAUUAGUUCAAGAUCCAGACCAAUUAAAUCAAAAAAAGUAAUUUGUUAGAAACUGAGACUAUGUACUAAGACAAAACAUUUUUUUUUUUGAGACAGAGUUCCACUCUUGUUGCCCAGGCUGGAGUGCAAUGGCACGAUCUCAGCUCACCACAACCUCCACCUCCCAGGUUCAAGCGAUUCUCCUGCCUCAGCCUCCCUAGUAGCUGGGAUUAUAGGCAUGUGCCACCACACCAGGCUAAUUUUGUAUUUUUAGUAGAGACAUGGUUUCUCCGUGUUGGUCAGGCUGGUUAUCGAACUCCCAACCUCAGGUGAUCCACCCACCUCGGCCUCCCAAAGUGCUGGGAUUACAGGCGUGAGCCACCGCGCCCGGCCAAGACAAAACAUUUAAAACUCAUUGAUUUCUAGGGAUAUAAGAAAUAAGAACAGGAUGCCACAAAAAGGGAACAUCAAAAGAACAAAAAGAACUCUAAGAAAUAAGAAAACAUAACCAAAAAGGGGCAACAGAAGGGCUAUAAGGUAAAGGUGAAAUAACCUCUCAGAAAAAAACAAAACACAGAGAUGAAAAAUAGGAGAAACAAGGUAAGAAAGAAGAGCAAUCUAGGAGGUCUAACAUUUGACUAACAGGAGGGCAGGAAGAGAGUACAAAGGGGAAGGAAAUCAUCAAUAAAAUAACUUUUUAAAGUACUGAGCUGUAGGAAAUCAGUUUCCAGGAUGAUAAUGUCCACCAAGUGCUCAGUGUAAGGUACGCAGGCAUAUCAUUGCAAAGAUUCCUAACAGUAGAGACAAAAUCCAGUUUCUAAAUAGAAACAAAAAAGGUCAGAAAACAAAGGAUUAGAAAUCAAAUGACUUUAGAUUUCUCAGCAACAGUAACAGAUGGACAAAGACAAAGGGGCAAUACCUUCGAAUUCUGGCAUAAAGCUUUCAACCGAGAAUUCUACAUUUUGCCAAGGGUCUAGGUAUAAGGGUAAAAUGAAGACAUGCAAAAUCUCAAAAUUUACCUGCCAGACAUCCUUCCCCAAGUUGUUACUAUAAGAUAUACUCCAGCAAAAUGAAAGAAUAAACAGAGAGAGAGAAAGACAUGACAUAAUAUGCAUUGGGAGAUCAAAUGGAGGAGAGAGAAGUAAAUAAUAUCCCCAAGAUGACAGUAAAGGGAAAUACCAGGAUAACAAACAGUUGGACCACAGAUCACAUGCUCCUGUCAGUCCAAAGACAAGACAUCUUUGACAUCAAAAGACACACUGAGGACUUCCAUCACCAAAAACGUCACUGACACUGUACCGUCUUUUCAACCAUUGGACAGAAUCCCCAGGUAAGCCUGGCCCAGAUUCUCAUCUGUAUUUGGCUUGUAUUGACAUAAACUCAUGAUGUUCCUGCUUUUCCCUCCAUACCUUUAUAUCCAGAUCAACUGCAUGGUGAGCUUAGAAACCAAAAUUACAGAGUAGCCUCUCUCAGACAUCCACUAUCUGGUCUAUACUCUGAGCCUGCCAGAUUCUCUGCUUACAGUGGGCCCUAAGGUUGCUAGGAUUCACUCAUGAUUUACCUAGACUUCCCCAAAAGUGGCUCUGAUAAACUCCAGAGAAGCUAAAACCAGACUAUGAUCCAGGUAUGCUGUUACCUUAACUUCUCCUGGGAGCCUUCAUCUACUAGUGGCACUGUUACCUUUUCACUGUAUAGCCAGAUUUAGGCUUGCUACCAAAUUUUCAAAACUAAACAAUUUGGUGUUUAUAGUCACCAAAAUACCAAAAGUCAGAAUGGUAGUUUCAUAUUUGUUAGGAGCAGAGAGGAGGAUAUGACCAGAGAGAACACAAUGAGGGUAGAGGAAAGGAGCUUCUGUUUCUUAAAUAGUUGGUAUGCAGAUAUUUGUUUUAUCUUUAAACCACAUACAUAGUGUGCAUUUUGUCCAUAAACACAUUUCAUAAUAAAAAUAAAAACAAGUUACAAACUAGGCAAAAGACCCAAAGAAGAAAGUCACAGAGGAAUAUAAGUGAAAACAUGCCCAACUUCACUAGAAUUCAAAACAAAUAAAAACAAGAAAACUUCUGCUAAUCAGAUUGCAAAAGAUGUUACAUAUUUCUAAUACCUAGUGUUGGUCAGUGAGGAAAAAAAGGCACAGUAAUAUACUAAUGAUGGAGAUAAAAGCUGGCAUGACCUUUAUAAAGAACAGUUUGCAAUACAUACAUAAAGAGUCUGGAGAAAAGGCAUACAACUUCUGAUUCACUUCUAGAAAUGCAUCCUAAAGCUAAUAAUCAGAAAUAUUAUUUGUGCCAUCGUUUAUAAAAUCACAAAAUUAAAAAUAAGUGUCCACCAAUAAAUGAUGAUUAAAUCAAUUACAGUAUUGUAAGGGAAUAUUAUGCAAUUUAAAAACCAAUACUGUAAACUCACAUUUAUUAACACAAUGAUAUCUAACAUACCUUAAGUGAAAAAAAAAUAAACAGUAGACAUAUAGAGUUUAAUUUGUUCAAAUACUGAUAGAUGGAUAGAAAAUGGAUAAACAAAUGCGUCAAAAGUUAAAAGUCAAGAAGAAUACACAUACAAAAAUGUUCCUAGUGAUCACUGGUUACUCUUAGGUCAGUGUUUCAUAAAAUGCUGUCUUAGAUCACCAUGGCCUCCACACUGGCAUACUACCUUAUGAUAGCACAAGCAAACACCUUACAUUUGGACUUUGUGAGAACAGCAAUCUUUUUGUCUCUAGACUGCAAUUUUAUGAAACUUUAUGAAAAAGUGGCAUGAUGCAAAUUCUCAAACAAAGCAAGUGAUUUCUGUGGUAAACCAACUGAGUUUUUCUUAAACUCAAAAUAAUAUACUUGCUGCCAGUAUAAAACAGAUCAAUGUUGACACUAAAGGUGAAGAAGAGAUCAAAACAAUACAGGUAUCAUUCAAUUCUGUGUUCUCCAUAUCAACACACACGUACCCAGUCAUACCACUGCAGAGAACACUUUAACACAAGCGUCAAAGUUAAUGGUAAACACUCAAGAGAAUGAUGAAUUAUGUUACUGAAUUUCAUUCAUGCUAUAUAAAUUCAUGCUAUAAGAGAAGUGUUUUUAGUCGGUUUAUUUAACAAUUAAUUUGUGAGGAAUGAGGCUACCUAAAAAGUAAUGGGAAUUAAUACAACCAGAAUAGCAGUUAUGUAUGCAGUGUUGUUACAUAAAUAAAAAGAUGCGACCAGGAGCGGUGGCUCACGCCUUUAAUCCCAACACUUUGGGAGGCCAAGGUGGGAGGAUCACCUGAGGUCAGGAGUUCAAGACCAGCCUGACCAACAUGGUGAAACCCCAUCUCUACUAAAAAUACAAAAAUCAGCCGGGUGUGGUAGCGCAUGUCUGUAAUCCCAGCUACUCGGGAGGCUGAGGCAGGAAAAUCGCUUGAACCCAGGAGGUGGAGGUUGCAGUAAGCUGAGAUUACGCCACUGCACUCCAGCCUGGGCGACAGAGCGAGACUCCAUCUUAACAACAACAACAACAACAACAAAACAUACAUGUAUUUUAUACGAAAACAAAUGGUAUUCAACUAAUAUGUUUCCUGAUCUUGAUACUGUUAAAAGAAAUACUAAAAAUUGUAACACCAACCUAAUUUUGCCUAUAUAUUUAUUUCUAUAUGCUAUACAAAGAAAUGAAUAGCAACUAUAAUGUUGAACAAUUUUUGCAAUAUGCAGCAUAUUAUUCUUUAAUAAAGUGCUGAAUUUCAUCUGACAAAGUGUUAUUUAGAAUUUUUUUUUUUUGCUAUCUGUAACAGUUUUGGUAGUGGUAUUACAGAGGAUUUGUAAAAUGGAUUGGAGUACUUACCACUAUUUCAUCUGCUCUGAAAUAGUUCACUAACCAAACUACUGACAACAGUUUAAUUUUUGUUCUUUCCUUAAAAUUAUACAGACUGCACCAAGAACACCAUAUGGACCUAGUAACACUUCAGAUUUUUAGACCUUACAACCUUUGCAAGUUCUUCUAUGAUUUCUGGGCUCUUUAGAUUUUCUACUGCUUGAGUCACUUUGGUAAUUUAUAUUUUCCUUGAAAAUACUCAAUUUUGUUUACUCACAAAAACCUCACUUUUAAGAAUAUCCUCCCCCUCAACCAAAAAAGCAUAACAUAUAAAUAUGGAUAUAUCAGUAUCACUUAAAUGCCCAGAAUAGGAAAAUUAUAAAAUUACGGAACAUCCACAUGAAAUUAUACAGAAAGAAGUAUGUGUACUGAAUUGACUUGGAACAGUAUUUAUUCCAAGCAAUUUUUUUUUUAAUUUUUAAAAAGGAAGUUGUAGGCUGGGCAUGGUGACUCAUGCCUAUAAUCCUAGCACUUUGGGAAGCCAAGGUGGGUGGAUGGCUUGAGCUGAGGAGUUCAAGACCAGCCUAGAAAACAUGGCGAAACCCCAUUUCUACAAAAAAUACAAAAAUUAGCUGAGCAUGGUGGCAUGCACCUGUAGUCCCAGCUACUCGGGAGGCUGAGAUGGAAGCAUUGCUUGAGCUUGGGAGGUCAAGGCUGCAGUGAGCCGUGAUCAUGCUACUGCACUCCAGCCUAGGUGACACAGCGAGACCUGUCUAAAAAAACAACAACAAAGGAAGCUGCAGACUGAGGCACAGAAUACAUUUUUAAAUUAGGAGAAAUGAUCCUUGUUUUCAUGCUAAGAGGAAAGAUCUUAUAAGCAUAUGUGCGUAUAAGCACAGAUCUGCAGAAGGAUAUCCUCCAAACUACUGACAAUAGUUUAAUUUUUUUAAAAGAAAUGACAGCAUGGUAUAGCAAAAAACAAACCAGAAAACCAAAUCAAUAGGAGAAAAAUCAUCAGCUCUCCUAAGAACCCUGACUGAAACCAAGAGGGCAAUGUCACCACCACAAGCCUUUAUGAGGUCUGCCUAUAUAUUCCUACUCUUGAAUUCCAGGAAAUCCUGUAUCCUUAAAAUAAUCCCCCCUUUCAACAUAAGCUAGCUCACAUUGGUUUCUACUGCUUGUAAUCAAAGGCUUCUUACAUACUACAGAAAGUUGACAAAUCAACGAUGACUGUGUUUACUUCACAGAAAGGUAGGUUUUGUGAGGACCCUUUAAAGAGUAGCAGGACUUAAAACAUGUAAGAAAGAAGCAAAGGCAAUCUAAACCACAAGAACAGAAUAAAGAAACAAUGGAAGAAAAGUAUUUUUCUCCUAAGGUACCACAGGGUCUAGAUGAAAAAGAGAAUGCAUGAUGGGGAGGUUAAGUGAGAACAGACUAUAGAGGACAGAUCUGAACUGGAAAUGAAAGGUAAACAGAAGCAAUUGUUAAUUUAAGAACAGAAAAAAGUUAUAAAAGCAGUACAUUAGAAAUAUUAGAAGGGUACUAGACAGCAAGAUAAACUGGAGAAAGAGUAAAAAUAGAAAUGAGGAAAUUAAGCAACUAGAGUGACAAUCCAAAUAAAAAGUGAGGAGCCAAGGAACUGGUAAUGUUAACAUACAUAGGUCAGAAAUCACGGCUGGGAGCGGUGGCUCAUGCUUGUAAUCCCAACACUUUGCGAGGCCAAAGCGGGCGGAUCACCUGAGGUUAGGAGUUCAAGAACAGCCUGGCCAACAUGGCGAAACCCCAUCUGUACUAAAAAUACAAAAAGUUAGCCGGGCAUGGUUGCGGGUGCCUGUAAUCCCAGCUACUCAGGAGGCUGAGACAUGAGAAUCACUUGAACCCGGGUGGCAGAGGUUGGCAGUGAGCCGGGAUCACGCCACUGUACUUCAGCUUGGGCGACACAGCGAGACUCUGUCGCAAUAAAAAAAAAAAAAAAGAAAUCACACAUUGGGUCCGGAAAGAUUUUUAAAAGAUAAUUCCCAAAGUAAAAUGCCAAAGAUAAGGAAGAUUUGAAGAGUUCAUCAAAAGGCAACAUUCCUAGACAGUUAUAUUUGCUUUCUAAAAUAAUUAAAAGUCAAAGGCAUUCUACAGAGUCUAAAAAGGAAGAAUCUAUCUGCUACUUAACUAUAUUCAAGUUGCUUAAACACCAAAAAAAAACUAAAAACUCUAGUUUUAGCUUAGCUAUAUUCAUGACUCAGCAUGUAGCUCUCUAAGUUGUCUCAUCACAUAAAAAACUACUGCAUUCCUUAAGUCAUUCAAUCCUUCUUCUGCAGAUACAGGCAAAACAGUCAUAUGAAUGAAUAUAUGAGUGGUGAUCAAACCAAAGCAGCAUGUAACAGUAAAAGCUUACUGAAAAAUAUAAGGUUCUGCUAAAAGGAAUCUAGAAACACACACACACACACACACACACACACACACACACACACACACACACACCCUAAGAAUAUUACUUUCAAAGCAGAAUCUAUUUUAGUGCCCUCAAAAUAACUAUUAUCUAUUCAUGACUUGAAACAAACAUUUUGGGCUUACUUUUUUUUGCAGCUGUUUUAAGUUUUCAAAAAGUUUACCUGAGAGACUAAAGCCUAUCACAUUUUAAGAGUGCAAGAAAUGGUUGUAUACAGUUUACAUAUGUAACCAAAGCCAGCUCCUUCCAAAUCACUGUGGUCUAAUGAACAACUUAAGCAUAGAAAAAGAAAUGUAGGCUGGGCAUGGUGGCUCAGGCCUAUAAUCCCAGCACUUUGGGAGGCAGAGGCAGGAGAACUGCUUGAGUCCAGGAGUUCAAGACCAGCCUGAGUAAUAUAGUGAGACCUCAUCUCUACAAAAGUAUUUUAAAAAUUAGGCAAGUGUGGUGGCAUGUGCCUGUAUUCUCAGGCACUCAGGAGGCUGAGGUGGGAGGAUCCCUUAAACCUGGGUGGCAGAGGUUGCAGCAAGCCAAGCACCACUGCACUCCAGACCAACAGAGCUAGACCCUGUCUCAAAAAAAAAAAAAAAAAUGAAGAAGAAAAAAAGAAAUGUAGGGUUAAAUAUGCAAAAGUAAUUAAAUAUGCAAAAGUAAUUAAAUACAGAUCUAGAAAUGUUCAAAAUUCUAGUGUAUCUGUGAGUCACAUACCAUUCUGGUAUGCAAUUGAUAUUGGUAUACAAUUAUAAAGGAGUUUAAAAUUAAAAAUUAAAAUACAGAAGCAGUUCUUGGUUCAGGUAAACCUUAUUCUUUAUUACUCCCUGAAACUAUGACUUCUCACUGUGCCCAAUAUAAAAGAUGCUUACCCACACAUACACCUUUAUUUACCUUUGUUCUGUUCAUAUAGUUUUCGGUCACCAGGCAUGGCAUCUCCUUCCUUCUAUCUAAAUUCAACACUAUUCAAACUUCCUUUCAAAUUCUGCUUCUUAUAGGGACAUGUAACCUUUUACAAUACACACUAAAUCUCUCCUUUCUCUGAGUAUCCACUUAAAGAAUAGCCAGUGCUCACCAUUUAUUACAAAUUGCUUUAUACUAUUACAUAAUUUCAUUAUUUUUUACCUCCCCAGAUAAUUUAUAAGCUUCCUAAAUGCAAGUUUUACUUACUAUUUCUCAUUUUUCCCUCACAAAAACCAGAAGGCUGGGUACACAAGUGCCUAACCCAUAUAUUUUUAAGCUAUUCAUUCUCUCAUUUUCAAAUCAAAUAUAUGACUAUGAUUUUAGAUUAAAUCACUUUCUAGCAAACUUCAAAGAGCAUGUAAACUUUUUUGCUGCAAUAAUUUGGAACUUGGUUUAAAACACAGAGUCAGAAAUCACUCCCACAACCCCCCAUCUUUUUUUUUGAGACAGGGUCUUACUCUGUCUCCCAGGCUGAAGUGCUGCAAUGGCACAAUUACGGCUCAUUACAGCCUCGCCCUUCUGGGCUCAAUUGAUUCUCCCACCUCAAUUUCCCAAGUAGCUGGGACUAUAGGUAUGCACCACCAUGCCCAGCUAAUUUUUCCAAUUCUUUUUUUUUUUUUAAGAGAUGGGGUUUCACCAUGUUGCCCAGGUUGGUCUUGACCUCCUGGUCUCAAGCAAUUUGCCUACCUCAGCCUCCCAAAGUGCUGAGACUACAGACAUAAGCCACCACACCCUGGCAGAAAUCACCUUUUUAAUAGGUAGGAAUUGGGAGAAAAAUCUGAACUAAUUUGUCCAAAGUGACAUAAGAGCCAUUGAAUUCAGUAUAGAAAAGGAAUUAUUUUCAUCUUUUGCUCUUUUCUUUUUCUGUUUGUCAUUUUGCUGCGACAGUGAUUUAGAAUAGGCAGAUUUUGAUUUGGAAUACAUGAGGGGAGGGAAGAAAAUCAAAAGAUGUACUGCUAUUUGCUGGGAGAACAUGUUAUCAUGUGAUCCAUUCUUACUCAGCUUCAGAAAAUAAUAUAAAUGGUUUAAUUUUUCUCUAGGUCUACACAGCACCUGCCUCCAUGAUUAGAAGUUACACUCCCUGGAUGUCCCCAUCUUACUAUAUGGCACUAAAAUUCAUACAGUUCCACAACCCAGAAAUCAAGACUCAUCCUUGAUUCCUCCAUCCCUUACUCCCCACAUUAAUCCAUAAGCAAGCCUGGUCAAUUCCAUCUCAAAACCAGAUCUUGGGCCGGGCGAGGUGGCUCACACCUGUAAUCCUAGCACUCUGCGAGGCUGAGGCAGGUGGAUCACCUGAGGUCGGGAGUUUGAGACCAGCCUGACCAACAUAGAGAAACCCCGCCACUACUAAAAACACAAAAUUAGCCAGAUAUGGUGGUGCAUGCCUGUAAUCCCGGCUACUCAGGAGGCUGAGGCAGGAGAAUCACUUGAACCCGGGAGGUGGAGGUUGCAGUCAGCCGAGAUCACACCAUUGCACUCCAGCCUGGGCAACAAAAGCAAAACUCCGUCUCGAAAAAAUAAAAACAAAAACAAAACCAACAGAUCUUGUAUUUCCCUUCCUCUCUUCCUAUCCACUGUCAUCAUCUUAGUCCAGGCCACCAUCAUUUCUAACAUGAAUGAAAACAUCCUCCUAACUGGCAUCCAUGCUUCCACCUUGUCCACCACCCUCCUCUGAGUCCAUCCUCCACACAGGAGCAAAUGUUCUUCUUAAAAUAAAACAUAUCACAAAGCUCCCCUGCUUAAAGCUCCUUGGUGGUUUCCCAAGUGUCCUACUCUGUUCUGGCUGCUGUAACAGAGUACCAUAGACUUAUUUCUCACAAUUCUGAAGCCUAGGAAGUCUAAGAUCAAGGCACUGGCGAUUUGGUGUCUGGGGAGGGCCUACUUCCUGGUUCACAGGUGGCCAUCUUCUCACUGUGUCCUCACAUGACAAAAUAGAGCCCUCUGGGGUCUCUUUUAUAAGGGUACUAAUUCCAUUCAUAAGGACUCUGCCCUUAUGACCUAAUCACCUCUUAAAAAGGCCCCACUUCCAAAUGCCAUCACACUGGAGAAUAGGUUUCAAUGUAUCAAUUUGAGUAUGGGGAAGGGGGACAUAAACAUUCAGCCUAUAGCAACAAGGCACUUAAAAUAAAAUUUAAUCUCUUUACAAAGGCCUGCAAGAAACAGCGGUAUCUGGUCUUGGGUCUUUUUCUUCAACUUCAUCUCACACCACUCUCCCCAUUGUACAUAUACUCCAACAAGCUGCCACAGAUUCUCAGCUCCUCAAAUAUUCUUCCUAUCCAUCCUAUCUCAGGCCUUUGCACCUGCUGUUCCCUACUUGAAAUGUGCUUUCUUCCAUUCUUCAAAAGGCUACAUCCUUCUCAUCUUUUAGGUCUCAGCUCAAAUGCCACCACCUCAGAAGGGCCCUUCCCUAUAAACCAUCCCUUCCUCAAAAAAAAAAAAAAAAAAAAAAUUCGCCACUUUAUCCUUUUCUAUUUCUUUUUUUGUAACACUUAAUAUCUCUGGCAAUAUUUUAUUUAUUUGCCCAUUUAUUUUCUAUCUGUCUCUACCACCGGAAUAUAAGUUGCGUAAGGGUGAGAACUACAUCUGUAAUGUCCUUUACUACAUCACCAGCAUGUGGGAUGCUGCCAGACUUGUAGCUAGCACCACAUCUACGUUCUAAGCAUUGGGAAUAUGGCAGUAAACCAAACAGACAAAAAUCCCUCCCCUCACGGAGGUAACAUUUUACUGAUUAUUUAGGUAAUAAACAAAGUAAGUAAAUUAUAAAGUAUAUUCAAAGGCAACAAUUGCUACAGAGAAAAAUAAAGCAAAGACAGAAAGGCAGAAUCAGAGUGUUGUAAUUUUACAUAUUAAGUCAGGGAGCCCUCGACUUGAAAAGGUCUUAUUGGAGUCAGUAUCUUAAAGAGCUGAGGAAGCCAACAAUCCAAGAAAACAAAAGUUAGUGACAUGACCCUGAGUGUGCAAUGUGCCUAACACAUUUGGGGAACAGCAAGAAAAUCAGUAUGACCACAACAGAAAGCAUUAGAGGGAAAGCUAGAAGAUGAGGUCAGAGAAGUAACAAGGGGACAGAAACAGGCCCUGAUAGAAACUGUAAAGGCUUUGGUUUUAUUCUGAAUCAGAGAGGAAGCUACUGGAGCAUUGUGGGCAGAGAAUUACCAUGAGUCGAAUUACUUCUAUCACUUGGGCUGCUAUGCUAAGAACAGAGUAUUCAGGAGGGAUUAAGAGUAAAGACAAAGACUACACAGUACAAUUAUCCAAGUAAGAGUUGAUGGUGGUUUGGCUGAGACAAUGAGGCAUGGUCAGAUUGAAUAUAUUUUGAAGCUAGCACCUACAAGAUAUCCUGAUAUGCUUUCUCUGAAAGAAAGAGACAUGUCAAGGAUAACUCUAGAAGUUCUGACAGCAUUGGAAAGAACUGAGUUGCUAUUCACCGAGAUAUAAAAGAUUGUUAAAGUAAUAGGAAAGUUUAUCAAAAGUUCCAUUUUAGGCAUGUAAUAUCUGAGAUGUCUAUUUGACAUCCAAGAGGAAAUGUGGACUGUGUGGCUGGAUAUAGAAUACAGAGGGCUAGGUGGAUGAUGAAAUUUGGGGAGUUAUCGGUGUGUGUAUAUGUACAUAUGUACUUUCAAGUACUUGGAGCAGGAUGAAAUCACCAGGGGGAAUAAACAAAAAGAGCAGUCCAAGGCCUGAGCCUCAAGAUUCUAUAACACAUCCAACAGAAAGAGAUUAAAAAGAACCAGCAAGUGAGACAGAAAAGAAAUGACCAAUAAGAGUUAAGGUAAAUCAAGAAUGUGGUAUCCUCAAAGCAAAAUGAAGAAAAUGUUUACUGGAUAAGGGAUUGAACAACUCUGUCAAGUAAGAAGAUGACUAACUAGACUUAAUGUGAAGAUCACUGGUACCAUGGAUUAGAACAGUUUCAGUGGAGUUUUAGAGGAGAAAGGCUGACAAGCUUGGAUGUAAGGCAAAAUGGGAAGAGAGGAAGUAGUGAUGCAGUGCAGACAACUCUUUCAAGGAGUUUUAAGAUAAAGGAGUUGUUUUGUUUUGUUUCAAUUUAUUUUUUGUUUUUUAAAGGUGGGAGGAAUUACAGUAUGACUGCACGCUUAUUAAAAUGAUCUAGUAAAAAUAAAAAAAUUGAUGAUAAAGGAUAGGAAAGAAAUGCAGCAGUGAAGUCCUUCAGGUUAGAACGGACGGAAUCUAGUGAACGAGCUGAAGAGGUGAACUUAGAAAGGAGCAAACAUGAUCCAUCUAUAGUAACUAGAGGGGAGGAUAAAUAAAGAUGCUAGCAGGUGCGCAGAUGUGACUGAGAGAGUUUGUGGAAUGAAAUGACGGCCUGCAGGCCAAAUCUGGCCUGCUGCCUGUUUUUGUAAAUUAAGUUUCACUGGAAUACAGCCACACUCACUCAUUUACAUAUUGCCUAUGGCUUCUUUUGUGUUACAAUAGUUGCACCAGAAACCAUAUGGCCCACAAAGCCUAAAAUAUUUACUAUCUGGCCAUUUACAGCAAAAGCUUGCCAACCUUGGUAUAAUGGAAUAAUCCAACUGCUACUCUCUGAGGGUCAGAUGCGAGGCUCUGAGGAAAGAAGGUAGGCAAGGACAUAGGAAACUACAGCAUUUAAUGAGACAAUGACACAACAAUAAAUUCUACAUCAUUCCUAGUUCUGGAGCCCAAAAUGAACGUUCUAUGAGCAAUCAAUCAUCACUUUAAGUCUGUUCCUUAUCUUUAAAAACAUUUUUUUUUAAAUAGAGAUGGGGUCUCACUAUGUUGCCCUGGCUAGUCUUGAACUCCUGGGCUCAAGCGAUCCUCCCAGCUCAGCUGCUCAAUGUGCUGGGACUACAGGCAUAAGCCAGCUCAUUAAAAAGCCACAUUAAAACGCCUUUAAAUGUUUUUACAUCUAUUGCUACAUUCGUUUCAAACUGGCUUUCUCACUAAGGAAUAGGGUAUGGCUUUGACUAUUACUAAGAGAUCUCUCAAAAAGGGAAAGGUUAUAUAUACAUAUUUAUAAAUCGGCAUUCCAAGUUAAUUGCUAUUUUUAAAAAAUCUUCAAGACAGAUGAAUAAAACAAAGGUUUUUGCCAAAAUGAGUAAUUUUACAGUAUUUCAUCACAUUUAAUUCACAUUUUAGCAUACAAAAAUGAAAUUAUAUGAAAAGAAAUAUACACAUUUUUUCAAAGAAAUCUCCAUCUUAGUAGAAAGGGCCAAAAUUUCUGCUUGGCUUUCCAAAUGCCUCAUACAUAGAUUUACCUAAAACAGUCACCUUAUUUUCCACUACCUCAUUUCCAAAGAACACAUACUGUUACAGUGAAACCAAUCUCCACUCCAACCUGGAUCAGCCUAUAAUCAUUUUUAACUCCAUCCUUUUUUCAGUUAUUCUCUGUGCCUAUCAAAGCCACAUUCAUAAGCAGAAAUACAUUUAAAGUUGUAUAUUCUUCAGGAAAUCUUCCUAAAUGGGCCAACCUGCUCACUUCCUUCCCAUCAAAAUUCACUUAAAAUACAACUGUGCAUUCAUUUAUCUGUUUUUUCUGUUGUGUUUGCUGUAUAUUAAUAUGAAUUCCUAACUAGAAGCACUUCCAAGACAAGGAAUUCUUCUUGUUCUUACAUUAUUACUUAGAUGCCAAGCACCACAGUCAUUAUUCUCAACACACGCUUAUUAAUCUGUGCACCAGAAAUAAAUAAAAAUAUGCUAUAUAUCCACCAUCCACUCAGUCUAGUACAUAUAAUCUUGCCUAUCCAGGCAGUUGCACAUACUUGUACAUAGUGGACACUCAAAAAAAUGUUUGUAGGUUGAGUGAAAGUAGAUUGAAUGCAUGCACAAAUGAUGAAUAAAUAAAGGGAACUCUUUAUAAGGUAUAGGAAAGUGGGGAACUACAGAAGGAUGUGAAUGAUCAAUCUGAAACUUUAGACCUUAAAUUCAUAAGGGCCAUAUAUUCAUCAGAACACUUUCUGCUGCAAUCCAAUUCAAACCAAUUUACACAAAAAAUUUUGGCACAAGGACUGAGAAGGACACCAGGAUAGUUCACAAAAUCAAAAGAAAAGUAGGUACCACUUACCAUGUUCCCUGAGAUUGAAACUGGCACUACCACCAUCCAUCUCCCAUCUCCUUAUGGCUUCACUUUCUCCCACUACACAGAUGCGCUUUUCAUACACGUGGUAAAGAAUGCCACCAGCACCUUCCCAGAUUAACAAUUUCAGAGAAAAGGUAGUAUCUUUGUCCUAGCAUUCAACCAUAAAUUUCAAAAAAAGGAUUCUGACUGGCUCUGCAUGAGUAACAGCAAUCACUGUUGCAAUAGGGAUGACCAAGCUCAGGUUAUAAGACAGUAAGACUGACGGACAGCCCACCAACCACUCAGAAUAGGGGAGGGGUGGUUCUCUAAUGAAGAGAUACUGAGUUGACAAAAACAAUAUAUGACAUGUCUUUUACCAGCCACAACCUUCAACAAACCAAUAUUAAUCAGGAAUUGACGAUAAGCUUACUACAUUUUGAAAUUAUCUGACUUUCCUCAUGAAAUGAGACCUAUGUGAAGCCCACUUAAUUUUCUGAAACUUCACAUCAUGUACCUUCAUUCUAAUAUUCUGACACUUGUUUCAUGCAGCCAUACCAGUCACAACUUUAAAUUUUUAGUCAGACUUUGCUCACAAGUUUUCAAGAUAAAUUAAUACAAAUCGUUUUGGUCAGUCAUCACACAGCAGUCUCCUAUUUACUUCACUACAACUACAGCUUUCAUUCUUCAUUACAUUACUUUUUCUGAGUAGUCUGGGUCAAAUAGUACAAACUGAAUAUUCCUUAACCAAAAUGCUUGGAAGUAGGCCGGGAGCAGUGGCUCACCCCUGUAAUCCCAGCACUUUGGGAGGCCAAAGCAGACAGAUCACUCAAGGUCAGGAGUUCUAGACCAGCCUGGCCAACAUGGCGAAGCCUCGUCUCCACUAAAAAUAAAAAAAAAAUUAGCCAGCCAUGGUGGCAUGCGCCUAUAGUCCCAGCUACUCGGGAGGCUGAGGCAGAAGAAUUGCUUGCACCUGGGAGGCAGAGGUUGUAGUGAGCCGAGAUCGCGCCACUGCACUCCAGCCUGGGUGGCAGAGUGAGACUCCGUCUCAAAAAAACAAAACAAAACAAAACAAAAAAGCUUGGAACCAGAAGUGUUUCAGAUUUCAGAUUUUUGUGGAUUUUGGAAUAUUUGCAUUACUUACUGGCUGAAUAUCCAAAAUCCAAAAUGUUCCAGUGAUGAUUGCCUUUGAGCUUCAUGUCAGCACUCAAAAAGUUUCAGAUUUUGGAGUAUUUUAGAUUUCAGGCUUUUAGAUUUGGGAUGCUCAACCUUUAGGAAAAUUCUUAGCAUUCAGAAUUACUUUAUCUCUUCAGGAAUAACACAGUACCCAUGUGAAUCUCGUGGUAGGAAGUCAAACAAAUAUUAUAUAGGAAAAAGUUACUUAAUGACAUAAACGAUAACGUGGUACCUCAACUCAGCUCUACUGCUCUCUACUCAAUGUACAUUAUUUUCUGACAAAAUAAAAAUUCAUGCCUUUGUAAAAAAAUGGCCCUGAACAGAAAUCCAUUUGCUGGUGAAGUUCAGGGAAGAACACGGUUAUUAUGAUAAUUAAAGCAAUACUGUAAGGUGGUAUAGUCUAUGUCAGCUAUUUCAGCAGUUACAUAAAUAAUCUUAUUCCUAAUUUACGGUCAUACUUAUGUGUAUACUUACUGCAUUUAGAGGAAUUUUAUGAUACUGUGGUAUCCAAGAAUCUUAGCAUUUCAAAGAUCCCAGGACCUAUCCAACACAAAGAGUAGGAGACAUCUGUGUUUUGAGGGUAGAAAAAACAUGUUUUUUUACAUGGGUACAAUAUUUUCCACUACAUUUCCAAAGCUUUCCUUAUAAUACCAUAGAUUUGUUGGCAUAUUUUUCCUCCUUUUUUGUCUACACCCAGACAUUCACAUGACUGUCUUCAAGAAACCAAUCAUAACACUAUAGUGAUUCCCAAGUCCCUUUCCUGAUUCAUAAUGAAGAUGCUAUUAGUCAUAAUAUAAACACAUAUCAGAUAAUUUUUCUUUAGGUACAUUGCUUUGCACUUACUAGACCAAAACCACAAUCUUCUGGCCAUUCAUAUAGCUUUGAAACAUCUAUCUACCACCUUUAUCUCCACUGUUCAUUACCCAGAAGACUUUAAUGCCACUUUUCUAUUCAGAAGGAUGAUAGUUAAAGUUAUAUUUGGAUUUCUAAUAAAAUGUUAAGUAAUAAACUAUGAAACCAAAAAUUACUUUUUUUGCUUAGAUUAAAAUGAAAACUCAUGUUUAAGUAUUUUAUUUUAGCCAAAAAAUAAAAUAAAACUAUAACUUAUAUAACUUAUGAAAACUCAUGUAUAUGUAAAACUACAGGUUGAGUGUCUCUUAUUUGAAAUGCUUGGGAACAGAAGGGUUUCAUUCUUUUUUUCUUUUUCUUUUUUAGGAUUUUAGAGUAUUUGCAUUAUACCAGUUGAGCAUCUCAAAUCCAAAAAUUCAAAAUCCAAAAUGUUCCAAAGAGCAUUUCCUUUGACCAUCAUGUCAGCACUCAAAAAAUUUUGCAUUCUGGAUUUUUGGAUUUGGGAUACUUAACCUAUAUUUUACUUUAUUUAGUCCAAUAUUAAAACAUACCAACUUACUACUUAAUAGACUAUAUACUCCAGUAUUUCAAUCUUUACCAUACCUCUUUCUUCAGGAACAAAAGGCACACAAUUUAACACUUGCACAAUGUCACAAUCAGGAACAGUGAUCAAAAGAAGAGAUGAUAUCUGGAAAUGAAGACCAAGAUUUUAAAACUUUUGACGACAAAAACUGUUCAAUUACACUUCACAUUCAACUUAGGUGUAUAAAGAAAUGUAAAAAAAAAAAAAAAAAACUAAGAAAAAACUUCUAUACACUUAAGCAUACAUCAUUGAUGACCAGUGAUAACAUGUCACAAAUUUGCAAAAGUCACAACCUAAAGCUUAGAAUCAAUCUAACUCAGUAUCUUCAUUUAUUACAAGAAAAAGAAAAUGAGCCUUGCCCAAAGUCACAAAACUAGAAAUAAUAUCUGGAUCCGGUUCCAAUUCAGUUAUCCUACCACCACAAUACUAACCCUUAAUACUCAUUUCUGGUAUCUAAUAUGCCAUGAAAACUGCUCACCAUGAGAAGCCAAUACCCCAUAUAGAACUGAAAUACUCACAGCCUACACACCUGGGACCAGAUAAUAAAUAAAAAUUUCAAGACGGUGUUAAAACCUUUUUGUUCUGCUAAUAGCACUUUGCCACAAAACCUUCAGUAGCAUACCUGAAGGAAUGUGGGCAAGAUUCAAGUCUCCUAUCAUUUAAAGAAAAAAAAAAAAAGUAGUAUUAAGUGCUCUAAAGUAUGCAAUGUCACAAUGCCUCAAUGAGAACAAUUCUAAACAACUAUAAACAGAAAAGUAAACAACAAAAAUACACUUAAAGGGCAUUUAAAGCAUAUCCUGAAGUCAAAUUAUAGAUCUAGGCUAAAGUAUAGUCCCUCUGUAAUAUUUCAAAAUAUAGAAACUUCUGGGAUUACAGCAUACUAUUACCAGAGAGACUAGAACAGAAUCCGAAGUGUGACCAUGGCAAAAAAUUGAAGCAUUUAAAAGUUCAUACAUUAUCAAUGCACACAGUGGGUGUUCAUUGUGGUUACUGUCUUUUGUCCUUCCAUAAAACCAGAUAUAAAACGUUUUAUUUGGUAAUUAUACUUAUUUUCACGCAACAAACAGGAAACAUUUGGUUGUGUAACAUACCUACAUUUUAUUCUCCCCUUUUGUUGGCAAUUUUCUGUAUCUAGGGAUGAUCUAAUUUACAGUUUCUAUGGCAAAAAUCAACAUCGUUUACUAUGCUUACCUUCCCCAGGAAAUCCCAACACCCUCAAAGUGUUAACAGAACGCAAUGUCUCUUUAUAAAUUUCAGAAAAGACAAUUUUGCUGAAAGAUAGUGAAUGCAUUUCUAUAAAUUUGCAGUUAAACUCAAAAAAUGUUAGGAAAUUUCACUGAAUCAAUUUAAAUGUUUUAAAUUAAACCUGAGGAUAUCAACCUUAGAGUACACUCAAAUCAGACCCCUUGCUGCAGAAAAAGCAAUUCAACAAUUACCAGUAACUAGAUCUAACAUGCACACUUUCAAGUUAAUAGAAUUCCUAUCCUGACAGUUUGGUGUCUUCAUGUUUUAUCACUGCGACAACUGUACAAAUUCCAACAUUCUUAUGAAUUCCUUGAACAUUGACUUAUUUUAUUUUUCUAGGGUUUUUUAGACGUUUGACAACAUACUCAACAAUGUUUGCACUAAAACAGCUCACAUACACUACUUGCUCUCAAAUUUAAACCUAAAAAGAAAACUGAGUCUUAACUGUUGUAUUCUGAACUUUAAAGCUACAUCUGUUUGAUCGGUCCACUUAAGAGUUAAAACAUUUUUCCUUAUAUACAUUUCGCUCUAUGUACUUUUCAAUUACCACAGCCACCUAGGAAGAGACUGUCUACUUGACAAAGAGGACACCAUGUAACGAAUAGAGUCAAAAUGAACCCUACAUGUGAGAAAGCCAGUUACAAAGAAAUCCAACUGCCACUGGGUGUGGUUAGGGUCUGCGGGGAAGAGCACCUUUGGCCAACUCUGGAGAAGAGCGAGCGCGUCAGGGAGCAGGGCAUCUCUGCAAGAAAUGGCCCCCAAUGACCAUACGCUGGGCCAGCAAUAGGGACGCCGUCGAGUCGGGCCUGCGAACCUAUAGCUCGAGGGGUGCGGUCUGCGGGGCGCCCUUGCUGUCUCCACCAACCACGAAACCCGCCGAGUGAGUGCUUCGAGCGCCGCGCGCCCAGCUUCGCCCCAAACACCGCGCCCGAUCCGCCCCUUCCUCCGGGGUUCGGCUGCCCCGCGGGGAGCGCGGAGGCACACCGUCUCCUACUCCCACCCAGCUCCUAGAAUGUAGGAGAGUGUAGAGUUCAAAAAGCCCGGAAGUAAAACAACCCCAGGUUAAGAAAGUAAGGGUAAGCUCUAGCAGUCGGCAAAAGCGCUCGGCAAAAAAACCCCGACUUCUCCAGAAAAACUUUGCGGCAAGUUAAGCGGAAGCGCUGAAUGGCCGGGACUAUUUAACUCGCGCUUCCUCUCACAAGAGGCGGAUCCCUGGACCUGUUUGGGGGACCCUGACGGUCCACAAACUCGCCGUUUGCCUGCUGGGUGGCCCUCUAGAAGUUCUGACAUCCUAAAAGGUCUGGGCAGUCCCGCUGACGGGGAAUACCUGUCGUAGUACCCAUUGCCUGCGAGUCCCUGAUGGCGGCCAUUACACUUCCAUCCGGGUAUUGCCGAAAAGCUGAUCGCAGCGCUACCGGGAGCGCACGCUGCGGCGGAGGGAUCUGCGCUUUACCUGAGACAAGCGGAAGAGAACGGAGGCCGGCAGGGUCCGCGCUCGGUCUGACGAGACUAGGCCAUGGAGCUGGGUUCGCCGCUGACCUCUCCAUCUAGCGCGCGGCCCCGGCGCCCACCAGUCCAGUGACCCACUACUACCUCUUUGCUCACCAGCAGCUGCUGAUCUUACUGCCGGUGAAAUGGCAGACAAACGUCUACUCUGUGCUCUUCAGAGUAGACACCAGGAGCAGGAACUGUAUGCACUUCCCAAGCCCUUGCUGACUGGGAAUGGUCUCCACCCUGAGAUUUUAACCAGUUCCGGUUUAGCAAAUGGCGCCUCCCCACCUCUGGCUUCUGGCACGCAGGUUUUAGCAACCAUUGUAGCCCACGUCAACGAAAGAAGCUGCCGCCAGUAGUUCUAGAAGACAUACUGAACUCCAAACCUGUAUAUAUUGAAUAAUUGAUCAAAAACUAUCUUCACAAUGAGGGAGGCUCACAUCUCCCUCAAACGAAUACUUCCUCUACCUGACAACAGGGCUGGACAGUUAAUAUGGUUGGCUUUACCCCAAAGGCCAGUGUGGCUCCUCUUCUGUUCUUUAUAAAUCCAACCUACUAAUUGAUACCUCACUUUCUACAUAAUUCUACAUAAAUUAUCUUCCUUUUAAAAUGUGGGGAGGGAAUAAGUGGCGGCAAACGUUUAAGCAACAACAAAAAACCUUGGCGCAGAAGGAUAUACCAAUAAAUUGAAAGUGAAACUAUGAUCAGAUUUUUCAUUUUUUAAUGUUCCGUGUUUUCUUAAGUAGCAUGUAUGACAUUUAUAAUUUUUAAAAAUUUUUUAAAAUAUGUGUAUGAUACAUAUUUUUCAUUGUCUUAGGGCAGGCUUUUGAAAAUGUCAGCCUGUAGCCAAAUGCAAGAUUUUCUCCAUCCUUUAAUAAAAAGCACACUGAGAAAUCCUCA
Molecule: long non-coding RNA, 19675 nt
Organism: Homo sapiens (human)
Lineage: Eukaryota; Metazoa; Chordata; Mammalia; Primates; Hominidae
Exons: 2
Source: RefSeq, a predicted model, not a curated record